CAAAGUUUUGGUCCUAAACUUGCUGCUGUUUUUGAUUAAAAUUACACAUGUAAGUAUCCGCAUACCAGUGAACACAGCCCCAAAAGUAAAAACGGAGCAGACAUCAGGCACGAAUUUCAGCCCAAAACGCCUAGCUACGCCACACCCCCACGGGUUAUCAACAGUGACAAACAUUAAGCCAUAAGCGACACACUAAAAUAAAGCUUGACCUAGUUAUAAUCAUUUAGAGCCGGUCAAUCUCGUGCCAGCCACCGCGGUUAUACGAGAGGCCCAAACCAGCAGCCAACGGCGUAAAUUGUGACUAGAAACACUCCAAAAACAAAGGAGAAAACCCCUGCCUAUCCGUAAAACAUUAAGGCAAGACUGAAUCUUCUUUAAUUCAAGUACUUUGAACUCACGAAAGCUAAGAAACAAACUAGGAUUAGAUACCCUACUAUGCUCAGCUAUAAAAAGACAUUUAUUAACAAAAUGUCCGCCAGAGAAUUACAAGCGAAAAGCUUAAAACUCAAAAGACUUGGCGGUGUCCCACACCCGACUUAGAGGAGCCUGUCCUAUAAUCGAUAACCCACGAUAAACCUAACCCCCCUUUGCCAAUCCGCCUAUAUACCGCCGUCGAAAAUCUACCUCACAAGAGAAAUACUGUAGAUUAAAUAGUGAUACACUAAAACGUCAGGUCAAGGUGUAGCUUAUAGGGUGGAUGAGAUGGGCUACAUUCUUUAAUCUAUAAAGAACACAGAAAGAGCUAUGAAACACCCCCUAAAGGAGGAUUUAACAGUAAAGUUGGCAAGAAUACCAACUUUAAGUUCGCUCUGGGACGCGCACACACCGCCCGUCACCCUCCUCUACCAAUACAAACUAUUUUAUAAAAGAUACAAACACAAAAGAUGAGGCAAGUCGUAACAUGGUAAGCGCACUGGAAAGUGUGCUUGGAACA
RNAcentral lists this non-coding RNA (934 nucleotides) under Plica plica (tree runner). Its description in RNAcentral is "12S rRNA". It matches the Rfam family "Bacterial small subunit ribosomal RNA". The record is from RNAcentral. Lineage: Eukaryota; Metazoa; Chordata; Lepidosauria; Squamata; Tropiduridae.